AACGCAUAUUGCGCUCGAGACUUCGGUCGAGAGCAUGCCUGUCUCAGCGUCGGCUCACCCCUCGCCCACCCCCUCCGUUCUUCCCGAACGGAGAGGUGCCUGGACGGACGUGGCCGUCUCGAUUGGGCUGGCGGAGGGCUCAACCCCCUCUCGCCGGCGUUACCCGAUCGGGUCGGCUGAAGUGCAGGGCCCGCGGCGCGACCCGGACAAGAGGGCGCCAGCAUGGUAGGUGGCCACACGCCGCAUGCCGCUGUCGCCUCCCCUUGGCCCGACCAGUGUCGCAUCCAAUCGUCCGCUCGGCCACCAAGCAGGAAAUUGUCGGAGCCGCCGGCUGGUAAAACAACCGGCGGCGCCGGCAACUCAAACCUUCGACCUGAGAUCAGACAAGACCACCCGCUGAACUUAA
RNAcentral lists this unclassified non-coding RNA (406 nucleotides) under Sordariomycetes sp. RNAcentral describes it as "partial contains 5.8S ribosomal RNA, internal transcribed spacer 2, and large subunit ribosomal RNA". The record is from RNAcentral. Lineage: Eukaryota; Fungi; Ascomycota; Sordariomycetes. RNAcentral also lists the same sequence under 1 other name.